UCCAAUCAACCAAGGUAACGACUACUAGCCAAUCAGAGGCUAAUGAGGGCGGGCCUUCACGGAAAGCGGGUGGGAAAAAAUAAGUAUUCUGACAACAUGGGGUGUGCAUUCCUGUUCGCCCUCUAUCAAUGUACUUUCUGGGCCACUGUAGCGGUUCACAUCCACCUCAGGGACAAAUGCCCAGCGAUACCUGUACAUGGAACAAACAGUGACACAGAAAAGGGUCUUACAUCUGAAAGAGUGGUAUCCUUUCUGGAGGAAACGCCAAGGAGGUGUCCAGAAACUUGCAGGCUGACAGAUACAUGUCCAAGUCU
This is a long non-coding RNA of Thunnus maccoyii (southern bluefin tuna), 314 nucleotides long. RefSeq lists it as uncharacterized. The record is from RefSeq and is a predicted model, not a curated record. The transcript has 3 exons. NCBI's taxonomy places the organism in Eukaryota, Metazoa, Chordata, Actinopteri, Scombriformes, Scombridae.